CUGCACGAAUGGCGUAAUGAUGGCCAGCGGCUGUCUCCACCCGAGACUCAGUGAAAUUGAACUCAGCUGUGAAGAUGCAGUGUACCCGCGGCAAGACGGAAAGACCCCGUGAACCUUUACUAUAGCUUGACACUGAACAUUGAGCCUUGAUGUGUAGGAUAGGUGGGAGGCUUUGAAGUGUGGACGCCAGUCUGCAUGGAGCCGACCUUGAAAUACCACCCUUUAAUGUUUGAUGUUCUAACGUGGACCCGUGAUCCGGGUUGCGGACAGUGUCUGGUGGGUAGUUUGACUGGGGCGGUCUCCUCCUAAAGAGUAACGGAGGAGCACGAAGGUUGGCUAAUCCUGGUCGGACAUCAGGAGGUUAGUGCAAUGGCAUAAGCCAGCUUGACUGCGAGCGUGACGGCGCGAGCAGGUGCGAAAGCAGGUCAUAGUGAUCCGGUGGUUCUGAAUGGAAGGGCCAUCGCUCAACGGAUAAAAGGUACUCCGGGGAUAACAGGCUGAUACCGCCCAAGAGUUCAUAUCGACGGCGGUGUUUGGCACCUCGAUGUCGGCUCAUCACAUCCUGGGGCUGAAGUAGGUCCCAAGGGUAUGGCUGUUCGCCAUUUAAAGUGG
Molecule: ribosomal RNA, 612 nt
Filed under: Escherichia sp. E2748
Lineage: Bacteria; Pseudomonadati; Pseudomonadota; Gammaproteobacteria; Enterobacterales; Enterobacteriaceae
Description: partial 23S ribosomal RNA
Rfam family: Bacterial large subunit ribosomal RNA
Source: RNAcentral